This 886-nucleotide long non-coding RNA is filed under the name Gossypium barbadense (sea-island cotton). RNAcentral describes it as "long non-coding RNA (GBAR_LNC007909)". The record is from RNAcentral. Lineage: Eukaryota; Viridiplantae; Streptophyta; Magnoliopsida; Malvales; Malvaceae.
CUUUUUUUUUAAAAAAAAGGAAACUCUCUGAAAGAGAGUUAAGGGCAGACCCUCGGAGCGCUGUAAUGUCUUCGUCAUCGGGUCCCCUACACGCCUACGCGCCACCACACAUGGUGGUCGGAAGGUAAAGAAAAACUUCUCCUUUUUAGCGAAAAUCAGGUAAUCUCUUUUCCUUUUACUAUUUGUAAUAAAAAAAAUCACCUUUGUACUUGAGUAGCUACUGGUUCUGUAAAUUAGUAACACUGUAUUUUGUCGGAUUUGUGUGUAUAUUUCUCCUCUGGUAAAUUGUGUGUAUCUUAUUCUUUGUAAAAAACUCACCCUACAAAUUAGAAAAAGACGGGUUUUUAUAACCCUUUGUAAGUGAUUUACAAUCUAGGAAAGAAAUCCUUUGAUUUCUUUCUAUAUUUUGCCUCUAUUUUCUGUUGUGUUUUUUUUUUAUUUUGUAGAUGUCUCGCGAGGAAAUCAGCGAAUCAGGGUGAUCAGGCCCUGAUGGCUUCGGUGCUGGCGCUGAUCUGCUUUCAUUUGGCUUCAACCACAGCCAAAUUCGAGGUCGGGAAUCGCGGCGUCGAUUGGGGCAGAUGGAACGACAGAAGUUGAAGGGGCGUGACUGAUGGGGUGAUUACAGCGCAAAGCAUCUGAAACCCUAGGGUUUCCAGAUUCUGUUUAGGCAUUGGGCCUCAUUUAGGUUGGGUAAAUUUUGGGCCAAAGGUUUAGGCUAACUGGGUUGUAACCGGGUGCUGGGUUUUGGUAUUUGGGCCUUUGUAAACUGGACUGUAAUGGACUAUUUAUUUAUCCAAUUUUAGCCCGGUCAAAUUUGGGCUACUACAAUGAGUAUUGAAUAUUUCUAUACAGAUAAUACAAAGAUUAAUUUUGAAGAAUUUAAAAA